This 201-nucleotide ribosomal RNA is filed under the name uncultured bacterium. RNAcentral describes it as "partial 16S ribosomal RNA". It matches the Rfam family "Bacterial small subunit ribosomal RNA", at positions 1300 to 1500 of the family's 1533-position model. The record is from RNAcentral.
GUAGUCUGCAACCCGACUACAUGAAGCUGGAAUCGCUAGUAAUCGCGGAUCAGAAUGCCGCGGUGAAUACGUUCCCGGGUCUUGUACACACCGCCCGUCACACCAUGGGAGUCGGAAAUGCCCGAAGUCUGUGACCUAACCGUAAGGAAGGAGCAGCCGAAGGCAGGUCGGAUGACUGGGGUGAAGUCGUAACAAGGUAAC